Molecule: ribosomal RNA, 495 nt
Filed under: Russula sp.
Lineage: Eukaryota; Fungi; Basidiomycota; Agaricomycetes; Russulales; Russulaceae
Description: partial small subunit ribosomal RNA
Rfam family: Bacterial small subunit ribosomal RNA
Source: RNAcentral
AAAAAUAAUUGAUAACAUAAGGGAAAAUAAUGAUAUUACCUUAUUAUUAGUGUCGUCCAAAACUGGUGCCAGAAGACUCGGUAAGGCCAGAGACAUAAACGUUAAUCGUCUUAAUCAGGCGUAAAGGGUUUGUAGGCGGCUUUAAAUUUUACUUAAUUAAAAAAAAGAAGUAAAAAAAUAAAAGCUAGAAUCAAAUAGAGGAUAUAUUAAAGAAUGCUUAGAGUAGGUCUGAUAUCUUUAGAUACUAAGUAGAAUAUUAAAGGCGAAAGCUUUUUUCCAUUAAUGAUUGACGCUCAGAAACGAAGGUGAGGAUAGGAAAUAGGAUUAGAUACCCAAAAUACCCCUCUCUGUCAACGAUGAAUGGUAGUUAUUAGUAAAGUAAUUUAUUAAUGAAAAUGUUAACACGAUAACCAUUCCGCCUUGUGAGUACAAUUGCAAAGUUGAAAACAAAAAAAUUAGUCGGUUUCGGAGCAAACGAAGUGAAGCAUGUUAUUU